Molecule: long non-coding RNA, 1058 nt
Organism: Orbicella faveolata
Lineage: Eukaryota; Metazoa; Cnidaria; Anthozoa; Scleractinia; Merulinidae
Source: RefSeq, a predicted model, not a curated record
AGUGUGGUGACAAAGGACAUUAUGCAAACAAGUGUCCGAAGUCCAGAUCAGAAGUGAUUGGAUUGUAACGGAGAUGCAGUCUUUUUAUACAGUCAUUCUGUUUGGCAGUUUAUACAUUCAGAACUAAUCUUAGAUGGACGGAAGGGGGAGAGAGGAGGAACACGUUGCUUCCCCUUCUUUCUCGCGGUUUUUUUUCUCUCUACCCUUUCCCCGUUUACACCUGCAACGCAGGCUAUUUUUCAGAGGUACAAAAUAACUUCAAAUAAAAGGAAACUCAAAAGAACAGAUUUAUGAGGUAGAAACACUCCAAAGCGAGAAAGUAAACUGAAAAUGUAUAAGGUUAGUUAUUUGUGAGCAAGAUUGAAAACGCUUUCGAAGGAAGUGCCGAUGUCAUUCGUAUUCUUUAUUUUCUGGUAAAUAAAUGGUUGAUUGUUGUUGUUAUUGUACAACUUGGAAAAAAGAGUAAUUUGUUAAGAUUCACUGUAUGAUCCUUGUGGCAAGGGUUUUUUUUUUUUGUAUAAAAUUGUAGUACGGGCCACAGACGGCAUAGCCUAUUUAAUACGCAGACGUUCUUAUUGCUUGUCACGCACUCCUACAAUGCGUGACCAGUCCAAAGAGCGUCUACAUAGGAGCUACAGACGAAAUCUCAAACUGCGCUCUCGUCUGACAGAUAGCCCAUCUGUGCUCUUGAAUUUGAACCUGUUCGGUCCUGUUCUAAUUCCGAUGACAGUCAAAGAAUUGUUACUCGUCGUUUAACAUGCAAUUGAUGGUCGUCGGAGCUGAGAAUGCUUGUGUUCAAACUCUUGUGCGUCAACUUUUGAAACUUGCCUGCGUUUCUGGCAGUUUUCUUGCGUGUUGCGAGCAGCGCAGGCCACGACUAGAAAUAUUUAUAUAUUAUUCAAACUACGCCCAGUAGCCUUAACUAUACAAUCUAUAUUUUUGAAAACGAAACGACAUUUGUCCGGUCAUUUUUCCGCAUAGCCUUUGACGAUGGCAUAGGUUUUGGAAGCAAAGAAAAUAAAGAUUCACUAAAAGUGAACUGAUACCUGGAAAAAUUA